CUAUGCACGCUCGCUUCCCCCACUUGCUGCCCGCUCUCUUCGUCGCAUCGCUUCAUCCCGUUCGAAUGCUCUGUCCUCCGGCUCUGCACCAUGGCCAUCCGUUCCUUCAUUGGUGAUGUUGGUUGAGCUUCCUUGGAUUUCGCGUUGGCUCCUUCGUAGGAGCGUGGGUCGUUCCGUCCUUGCUGUCCAGAUUGUUAUAGGAAUUUCCGUUUAGCUCGUCGCCGCGUCUCCAUUCUGCUCGCUGAAGUCAAGAAAUCCAGGAGAUGGCUCGUGUGCCAAUGGUUGACAGGAUUGCUCCACCAGAACUUACCCAGCUUAUUGGAUAGAAGUACAAGCUCCUUGUGUCCAUUGCAAGCAGAAGCUUUAAUGUCAACAGUGAGCAGUUGUCGUUCCAAGUUGUGAGGAUUAUAGAGACCUACAAACCCGAGUUAAGCUCGUCCGUGUUUGACUAUGUCCCAGGGACGGCUGGAGCAUCAGCGCCUACUUCACUGGUUGGCAGUCCAGUGUCUUCUGGGAUGUUUACACCAAACACACUAAACAUCUAUAAUGCACAGCCUGGUAGCUCAUCAGGCAGCCUUACUAUAGGCUAUAAAACAUCUACAGCCGAGGCACGCACACCCACUUCAAAGCUCAGUGCUGCCCUUCUUCCAGCUACACCCCCAGGCAAAUCACCAUGUCCAAGCGGCGUGUUUUGUUUCUUGGUACUGAUAAGCAAACUACUGCACUGGAAGAACCUCUGAAGAAGCUUGCCGAGGCUGACAAGGUGCAUGAGAGCAAACAUGACGAUCCAGCUGAACCUUCUUCACCUGCUGUUGAAGAAAAGAAUGACAAAGAUGACCAGACUCUGAUGAUCAAGAACAAAAGGGGCACUGGUGUUGGAAAGAGAGCUGGGGUAACAAAGAAAACAAAGUAGUGACUGCUCUACACUGGCCAUGCAGAGAUAAAUUUUCUAUAGGAUGAGGUGGCAAGCAGGGAAGUAACACUAGUAGAAAAUGAAGGAAAUAUGCCCUAGAGGCAAUAAUAAAGUUAUUAUUUAUUUCCUUAUUUUAUGAUAAAUGUUUAUUAUUCAUGCUAGAAUUGUAUUAACCGGAAACAUGAUACAUGUGUGAAUACAUAGACAAACA
This is a long non-coding RNA of Triticum aestivum (bread wheat), 1124 nucleotides long. RefSeq lists it as uncharacterized. Lineage: Eukaryota; Viridiplantae; Streptophyta; Magnoliopsida; Poales; Poaceae. The record is from RefSeq and is a predicted model, not a curated record. The transcript is spliced from 8 exons.